This 443-nucleotide long non-coding RNA is filed under the name Malus domestica (apple). Its description in RNAcentral is "long non-coding RNA (MDOM_LNC003397)". Lineage: Eukaryota; Viridiplantae; Streptophyta; Magnoliopsida; Rosales; Rosaceae. The record is from RNAcentral.
AAUAUUCAGCUUUCUUUCCCCCCGAUAAUACCUCUGCAAACAAGCUAUACUAGAGCAAGAAUAUCUCAUAUCAUCAGGGUUAAAAGCAAGAGUAUCUCAUAUCAUGCUUUUUCCCUGUCUUUUCCUUUGGCCUUGUUCUUACCUGCAAGACAAGGAGAAAGAGAGCAAUCAGUCAGCACUUGGAAGCAAGCUUCCAGCCAGGAACUGACUGCCUGGAACCUCUUACCUGAUUACUUACCUGGCAUUGCUCUCGAGUACUCAUCUUCAACAUCUUAUGCUUCCAGGGAAGAUACCGCAUCUGCCUGAGGAACAGAUAAGGCAAGUGAGAAGGAUACAAGGAAGCAUGUGGAGACCAGCGUAACAACACACGUGCCGAUACAUCCACUACUCUAUCAAAAGCAAAAGUAUCCCAUAUCAGCAGGGUCGAACGUACUCUAGAUUUG